This 254-nucleotide ribosomal RNA is filed under the name uncultured bacterium. RNAcentral describes it as "partial 16S ribosomal RNA". It matches the Rfam family "Bacterial small subunit ribosomal RNA", at positions 524 to 776 of the family's 1533-position model. The record is from RNAcentral.
UACGUUGGGGGCGAGCGUUGUCCGGAAUUAUUGGGCGUAAAGAGCGUGUAGGCGGUUCGGUAAGUCUGUCGUGAAAUCCUGGGGCUCAACCCCGGGCGUGCGAUGGAUACUGCCGGGCUAGAGGGUGGUAGAGGCGAGUGGAAUUCCCGGUGUAGUGGUGAAAUGCGUAGAUAUCGGGAGGAACACCAGUGGCGAAGGCGACUACCUGGCCUGUUUCUUGACGCUGAGGCGCGAAAGCUAGGGGAGCAAACGGG